GAUGAACGCUGGCGGCGUGCCUAAUACAUGCAAGUCGAGCGAACAGACGAGGAUCUUGCUCCUCUGACGUUAGCGGCGGACGGGUGAGUAACACGUGGAUAACCUACCUAUAAGACUGGGAUCACUUCGGGAAACCGGAGCUAAUACCGGAUAACAUGUUGAACCGCAUGGUUCAACAGUGAAAGACGGUCUUGCUGUCACUUAUAGAUGGAUCCGCGCGGCAUUAGCUAGUUGGUAAGGUAACGGCUUACCAAGGCAACGAUGCGUAGCCGACCUGAGAGGGUGAUAGGCCACACUGGAGCUGAGACACGGUCCAGACUCCUACGGGAGGCAGCAGUAGGGAAUCGUCCGCAAUGGGCGAAAGCCUGACGGAGCAACGCCGCGUGAGUGAAGAAGGUCUUCGGAUCGUAAAACUCUGUUAUUAGGGAAGAACAAAUGUGUAAGUAACUAUGCACGUCUUGACGGUACCUAAUCAGAAAGCAACGGCUAACUACGUG
RNAcentral lists this ribosomal RNA (497 nucleotides) under uncultured bacterium. RNAcentral describes it as "partial 16S ribosomal RNA". It matches the Rfam family "Bacterial small subunit ribosomal RNA", at positions 28 to 507 of the family's 1533-position model. The record is from RNAcentral.